GACGAACGCUGGCGGCGUGCCUAAUACAUGCAAGUAGAACGCUGAAGCGAGGAGCUUGCUCUUCUUGGAUGAGUUGCGAACGGGUGAGUAACGCGUAGGUAACCUGCCUUGUAGCGGGGGAUAACUAUUGGAAACGAUAGUUAAUACCGCAUAACAAUGGAUGACACAUGUCAUUUAUUUGAAAGGGGCAAUUGCUCCACUACAAGAUGGACCUGCGUUGUAUUAGCUAGUAGGUGAGGUAAUGGCUCACCUAGGCGACGAUACAUAGCCGACCUGAGAGGGUGAUCGGCCACACUGGGACUGAGACACGGCCCAGACUCCUACGGGAGGCAGCAGUAGGGAAUCUUCGGCAAUGGGGGCAACCCUGACCGAGCAACGCCGCGUGAGUGAAGAAGGUUUUCGGAUCGUAAAGCUCUGUCGUAAGUCAAGAACGGGUGUGAGAGUGGAAAGUUCACACUGUGACGGUAGCUUACCAGAAAGGGACGGCUAACUACGUG
RNAcentral lists this ribosomal RNA (497 nucleotides) under uncultured bacterium. RNAcentral's name for it is "partial 16S ribosomal RNA". It matches the Rfam family "Bacterial small subunit ribosomal RNA", at positions 28 to 507 of the family's 1533-position model. The record is from RNAcentral.